UACGGGGGGGGCAAGCGUUGUUCGGAAUUACUGGGCGUAAAGGGCUCGUAGGCGGCCAACUAAGUCAGACGUGAAAUCCCUCGGCUUAACCGGGGAACUGCGUCUGAUACUGGAUGGCUUGAGUCUGGGAGAGGGAUGCGGAAUUCCAGGUGUAGCGGUGAAAUGCGUAGAUAUCUGGAGGAACACCGGUGGCGAAGGCGGCAUCCUGGACCAACACUGACGCUGAGGAGCGAAAGCCAGGGGAGCAAACGGG
Molecule: ribosomal RNA, 253 nt
Filed under: uncultured bacterium
Lineage: Bacteria
Description: partial 16S ribosomal RNA
Rfam family: Bacterial small subunit ribosomal RNA
Source: RNAcentral